AAAAUAACAUGAAACCUACAGUUCACGACACAUCGCAUAGGAAUUUAAAAUAAAUAUUAGGCCUAUAGGUUUAAUACAUAUUGCUUAGAAUAUAGAAAUUUAGAUCUAGUGUUCUGGUUAGUAGUUAUUUCAUGUUUAUUAGAAUAUAGUUUAGAAUCUAAUCAUACGGCUGCAUAAAAAGAAAGUUUGAAGGAAAUAGAAUAGGAAUCUAGAGAAGCGGAGUGUUUUCCGCACUCGAGAGGAAAGAGGUUGCAGGGAACUUAGAGACUAAUCUUUGCCAGCAUACUGGAUUUCUGGUGAUGACAAUAGCAGCAGAUAGUAUGCGGCUCAGUUAAUACUAAAAACAAUUGAUUUUAGUAAUUAGUGGACUAUGAGUGUGUGUUUGGCCAUCCAGAUUUCAUAACUACAACUGAUGUUCAAUUACAAGGGAUAUUAAUCAGUCUCCGUGGACUAUACACUGUGCCUAGUUUCAUCCUCAGAGACUGAUGUGUAAGCUUAAAGUAAAGACAUCAAAUCAAAGUAUCAGCCAUCAAGAGGAAAAACAUUCAAAAUCAUAUUGUGAUACACAAGUCAAGCAAGUCUGACCAGCAUUUUGAUACAGGCCAAGAAAAAGCUGGAUACUUGAUUGGAAGGGUCGCACAAAAAACAUGGGUUAUCACUAGGGAAACAAGCUCGCAAUACAGUUCACUGUUAGGACAGCAAGCCAAAUACUUCUAAACUUAUUUGAAUCAUUUUUGCUGUUUAUUAUAAUUCAUCCAAUUGUCUUAUUAAAUAUAUACAUUUAUAUAUAUACACAAUUCCUAAUAUAGAAUUUCUAAAAAUGUUUUAUUAUAAUAUUUAAAAUGAAACAAACAUGUUCCCAGAACACAGCCACAUAAUGUCAACAUGUUCCCAGAACACAGCCACAUAAUGUCAACAUGUUCCCAGAACAUAGCCACAUAAUGUCA
Molecule: long non-coding RNA, 947 nt
Organism: Physella acuta
Lineage: Eukaryota; Metazoa; Mollusca; Gastropoda; Physidae
Source: RefSeq, a predicted model, not a curated record